AUUCAACCCGCGAUUCUUUUUAGUGGAGAGGCGGUCGAGCGGGAAGGACUGGGGCGUCGCCCACGACGCAGACGAGACCGGCGGCGGCCUUGCGGCGGCUUGCGGUGGCGCGGUCGACGAGGACCUGCCGGAUCUCGCCGGAUCUGGUGGGAAAUGGCACGCAGGCGACGGAUCUGGGAGGAAAGCGGCCCGAGCUUGGAGCACGAGGCUUGGCGUGGGAGGACGGAAGGAAGGAGAUGGGAGGCCGGAGGGAGAGAGAAGGGAGUGGUGAGGUGCGGCGGUGGUCCUGCUGCUGCUCCUCGCCGGCCAUCGGCACGAGGUAGGGCUCGGGUGCGCGGAGGCGUCGACAUCGUCGAGUGGAUCGAGCAAGUGGGCUAAGUUCCGCCGUCGCCUUCAUCGGCCUUCGUCCAUUCCCCUCGCUAAACAGAUCUUCUCCUGCUAGCUAGGGUUCCCCGCCGCAGGCGCACCUCGGCAGCCAUCGAGGCGACCACUGCCGCCUACAGGCGGAACGAGGCGGAGGAGAACCUCCUGGUACGGCUUAGCAGCGCGGAGGCGACGUGAGGAGGAGACGCCAAGGUGCCGGUGGUGCGCCCGCUGCUGGUGGUGCUCAGCGAGGACGAGUGCCGGAAGGGGCUAAGCGCCAAUGUCUGGUAAUAAUUUUAUCUUCUUUCAGAUGUAGGAAUUGAUACGGAUGAACUUAAAGGUAGAAUAUCUAAUCUUAAUCUUGCGGUUUUCAAGAAGGCGCCCAGAAAAUCAAUUGACACCAUCCCUUCUCUGAUUAUGCACACAGAUCAGGAGAGACAUAUUGGCCGGGACAAUCUUUAAACAAUGAUGAAGCCCUCUCCCGGGUCAGAAAUUGAACACAUAAUUCUUCUUUUAGACAGUGAAUAAAAUUUGCCUAUUGAUGAUGUGAUUGGUGAGGAAGGUUUGUCUUCAGGGAAGGAGAAUGAAGGAUUUACUGCUUCAGAUCUGUUGAAAGAUCUCUCUGUACAAAGAAGGCCAUUUGAAGAUAGACAUGUGUCCUUGAAACAGCAAACACGUAGUGAAAGUAGUGCCUCCUAUAGGAAGUCAAUUUUUAGAGAAAUAGAAAUUGUUGUGAAAACACUCAGUUGGUGUGGAGGUGAUAUAUAUGGAGUUUGCUCAGAAACUGCUUCAGCUAUCAAACAUGGAAAUUUCUCUGAGCAAGCCUUGUUUGAUGUUGUUAUCGAUGAAGCUACAUAGACUCUUGAGCCUGCAACUUUGAUUCCACUUCAGCUACAAAAGUCAAAAGUAACAAAGUGCAGAAUGGUAGUGUGGUCUCUCUUAAUAUAUGAAGCAAACAUUACAGUGCUAGCUCGUACUACUUAGUAACAUAUCCUUUUAAGGUUGGUGAUCCAAAGCAGCUACCUGCUACCGCGAUGUCUGGGUAGGCAGCCUGUGAAUGUAUGGUCUUCCAACAGUAAACAGGAACCCGGACAUGGAUUGGUGACAAGCUUCCCUCACACAUUUAUUUGGAGUUUGUGCAAUACACACAACUUGGAUCUAUUGAAUCAGCCAGUAGGUGGAGAUCGUAAUUAGAAUCAGGGCAUUUCUAUGAAAGUCUAUAUAUCACAGUUAACUACAGGGAGGAAACAAAUGAGAUAUUCCCAUUCACAAGUGUUUAUGCUGAACCCAGACUUUUCACACCAACCAGUUGCAAUCAUGAACGAGCAGCAAAUGUUUGCACUGAACUACUGGGGUAAGGCAGUGAAAUACUUUUUGCUCGCGGGAGUGAAAGUUUGGAACAGAGAAAGAACAGACAACAAAGUGAAUGACACUAUUCUAAUGGCAGAAUGAGGAUGGGGCAUUCGGUGAUCCAACAUCUGUUCUAUCAUCAGGGAUGAUGGCAUUCUUUAGCAAUACUAAGCCGCUUGAUAAAUCAUGGCAUGAGAUGGGCCUUGGGUAUAAUCCAAGCAUCGACCCUGGAUGAUCCGUGGUGAUGCAAUUUAAUGGAAACAUGAACCAUGGCUUGAUGUUGCUUUCAACCAGUACAAGGCUAUGGAGAAAGUAUGUAGAUACUGAAAAGGAAUUCCUGACACUAUGUAACUUUGGUCUCUCAAGUAAUUGAAGAAAUUCUCCAAGAAUAAGGCAACCAUCAAUAUAUUUGUUCUUUUA
RNA transcript from Triticum aestivum (bread wheat), 2133 nucleotides. RefSeq lists it as uncharacterized. Lineage: Eukaryota; Viridiplantae; Streptophyta; Magnoliopsida; Poales; Poaceae. The transcript has 7 exons. The record is from RefSeq and is a predicted model, not a curated record.